This 253-nucleotide ribosomal RNA is filed under the name uncultured bacterium. RNAcentral describes it as "partial 16S ribosomal RNA". It matches the Rfam family "Bacterial small subunit ribosomal RNA", at positions 524 to 776 of the family's 1533-position model. The record is from RNAcentral.
UACGAAGGGUGCAAGCGUUAAUCGGAUUUAUUGGGCGUAAAGGGCGUGUAGGCGGAAAAGAUAGUCAAAUGUGAAAUCCCAAGGCUUAACCUUGGAACUGCAUUUGAAACUCCUUAUCUAGAGGGUAGACGGAGAAAGUGGAAUUCCACAUGUAGCGGUAAAAUGCGUAGAUAUGUGGAAGAAUACCGGUGGCGAAGGCGACUUUCUAGUUUAUUCCUGACGCUGAGGCGCGAAAGCAAGGGGAGCAAACAGG